CGCAGCUUGAAGGUUGGGCUUAUUUUUAUGUAUCAAUGCGAUCCGUUCGUCCUGUUAACAUAAGUAAUACCGGCAUAUUCCAGCUUUACUGCCGUUUUGGCUUUAUUUUUAUUUAGUUACAGGAUUUAUAUCAUGUCUCAAGUUACUGGCGUUGUUAAGUGGUUCAACUCUGACAAAGGUUUUGGAUUUAUCGAGCAAGAGUCUGGUCCAGACGUCUUCGUUCACUUCCGUGCGAUUCAGUCAGACGGUUUCAAAACUCUUGACGAAGGUCAGAAAGUUCAAUUCACUGUGACUCAAGGUCAGAAAGGUCCACAAGCUGAAAACGUAACUAUCGUUUAGGUUUGGACUUUCGAUUAGCUUUUAGCUAAUCCAAAAGAAUUUGUAAGAGCUGCGAUUUAUCGCGGCUCUUUUU
RNAcentral lists this small RNA (412 nucleotides) under Shewanella violacea DSS12. Its description in RNAcentral is "cspA thermoregulator". It matches the Rfam family "cspA thermoregulator". The record is from Rfam by way of RNAcentral. Lineage: Bacteria; Pseudomonadati; Pseudomonadota; Gammaproteobacteria; Alteromonadales; Shewanellaceae.